RNAcentral lists this long non-coding RNA (1078 nucleotides) under Gossypium raimondii (Peruvian cotton). Its description in RNAcentral is "long non-coding RNA (GRAI_LNC004929)". Lineage: Eukaryota; Viridiplantae; Streptophyta; Magnoliopsida; Malvales; Malvaceae. The record is from RNAcentral.
CGAGCUUAAAUAGAAGAUAGAAUCUUUUUUAUUAAAAAUUUCUUUACGAGAUUUGAACGCGAAAUAUUUCUGACCCAAAUCCCCGACGCAAGUUACAGCUAGCUAAUCAGCAUUUUGAAUGCAGAGCCAAUAUAUAAAUCAAAGAAAUCCUGCUCUAAUUCACAAAUUUCCUUCUAAGAAAAGAAAAAAUGGAAAGCAUGAAGAAAUUAUAUAACCGAAAAUAUCAGUAGGAAACUGCUAAUUAAGCAGAAAAGUAAAGAAAAAAACUUCAUUCUUCCACCAAUGAGAAAUGAAUAUGAUAUUGCGAAACUGAACUGCCCCCAUAUAUGUCAUGUCCAGAGAAUUCUGGUGAAAACCCAGAUUUUCGGUUGAAUAUUUUUGGCAGCUAAAGCAAGUUUGUAGCACAGAUUACAGGAAAAUCAAAAGAAUGAAUACCCAAAACUCGAAACAGAUCCACACAUUUAUUAUGCAGAGCUCUGGAUAAAAAAACCUAAUGUAACACUAUAUAAAUUUCCUUAUCCAUGAAAACUGAUAUGAGCUACAGCUGCACUAAAAAUUAAUCUAAAAGUACAUGUUUCUUUUAAUUACACUAGUACUCCUGUACAAGUAGCUCCAGACUAUGAAAUGAAACUGAAACUGAAACCAAGGUGGCCGGUUUUCUUUUUAGGGCUCGCCUCGGUCACGCCAGCACACGAGCAUUGCUAUGCAACGUCGGAGGAUGUAGAAUUUGGCUCGCUGCUUCUUAACCAAGUGACUGCAUUUUUGACCAAAAGAUCUGCAUGGUUCGCAGCUAGCGUCCUUGUUUCUAGGAGACCUUGUCUCGUUUUCUUUGCCUGCCAUGUGAACAACUAAGCUCUUUUUUACUUUGUUUCUUGCUUGAGAUGAUGUAGCGUUGUUGUUGAUCGGCACUGCUAGUACAAAAUAGCAGUAAAUAUGAAAGGAUGAAGGGUUGAAUGAGCAGUUGGUGUUAUUUAUAUAGAAAAAGGAGAGAUUUUUUUGAAUCAUAUAUGUUUUAAUUUGGUUCUGGGUUGGGCUCCCCCGCACGGAACCAAAAUAAAAUAGGAUUUAUAUAUAUUUU